AACACCAAUUUAACAAAUCUCCUAGUGGCACACAGUUUUAUUGAUAACAAUUAGCUGCAACAAAAAACAAAUUAAAAUUCAAUCACAAAACUACAUAAUAGUACUGUUUGUCAUGAUACAAGAAUGUUAAGAAUAAGAUGAAAAUAACUACACUUUUGUAAAAAGCUACUUCGAAUUUUUAAAACAGUUGUUAACCCAAGGAUUUAUUAAUGCUAUAAAAUACAUCAUUGAUGGAUUCAGGUGGGAGAGUAGAAAUACCUUUUUCUGGGCAUAAAAUCGUCAAAAACAAAAUUCCACACUAUGAAGACAAUUUUAACAUUACAGGCAAUUGCAACCAUUUCCUCUCAACUCAGGACUCCCAUCUACACACCCUUUCCCCCUUUACACUGAUUACAGUAAGACUUUUCGUUGUAAAUCAAUAUUGUUAAUUUGUUUUGAUGUCUUUUGAGCCUAAAAAUAUUUCCUUCAUUUUCAAAUUGCUGGAAUAAAAAAAAUCCUUCCAUAUUCAAAAUUUUAGAUGAAAUGCAAAUUUCCAAACUUGUAUAACCUAACCCAAUUUGGACAUCAUUUUCCCCCUAGAUAACUUUCCAUUGUAUAAGUUUUAUCUUCUUACAUUUCUACUUUGAGAAGGGACAAGGUGAUUGUUAUAUGGUCCCUUUCCAGAGUCUGCAGUAUAAAAUUAGUAUAAACAUCUAUAAUGUACUUUAAGGAUGUCAACUAACUGGUAGUCUAAUAGUCUUAUGUAUUUUAAUUGUAUGCCAUAUAUCUGUGAAUUGUGAGUAUUUUACCAUUUUAAAUAAUAAAAAUAAAAAUUGUGAACUUAGAAAAAGAGAAUAAAAUAAAAGAUUGGACAAUUAGUGAAAAUAUAUACAUUUUAUAAAACGUCAAAAACAUUCAGCGAAAAUCAGUAUAUAUUAUGAAAGACUCAAAUAUCAUGCAUAUAAGAAUUGGCAAAUAUUGGAUCGUCUCUUUACAAAAUAUCUUCAUUUGGUGGUGUUUGGUAGGUGGCUAUUUUUUCAGCGGUCACAUUGUUUAAAAAAAAAACAUUCUUCAGACAUACACAUUUUAUAUCAUACAUGAUAAUAAAACUAACAAUGGAGUUUUUCAUGUCAGAGAAAAUUGAAAGCUGUCAACCUUGGUGAUAUUCAGAGAAAAGAAGAAAUUCUUUAUUAUUGCAUAGCAAUAUAAUAUUUCCCACAGAAAGUAACCAGAAGUUAGCGUGCAAUAAAUUCCAAUAUUGCACUAGUGAAAUAAAUCUUCAAAAUUCAUGACGUCAUCAAAAACAAAAUCUUAGUUUAAACCAAUUUUUACUUUCAAAUAUUAUAUUAUGCUAUACAAUAAAAGGGUUAUUGCAUGAAUAUUAGUGACUAUUGUCCCUCAAAGAACAUAUAUUGCACUCGCAAGCUCGUGCAAUAUAAAAUUCAACGCGGGACAAUAUUCCCCAAUAUUCAUGCAAUAACCCUAUAUUAAUAAAUAACACAUACAAAAGUAAAUUUGUUAGCUGGCAGUAUAAAUAUUACGCUGAUGUACUGUGGAUUUAUUCAUUUUUCAUGGGUACAAAUAUUUGGCGGAUUGGGGAAAAUGGUAUUUUGGUGAAUUGGGGAAAAUGGUAUUUUGGUUGAUUGGGGAAAAUGGUAUUUUGGUGAAAUGGGGAAAAUGGUAUUUUGGUGGAUUGGGGAAAAUGGUAUUUUAGUGGUUUUUGUUUAAGUCUGCUUUCAAGCGUUUAGGAAAUUUGAACUUCGUUAAACAUGAUUAGAAAAAAAAUUGGUGGUUCACCUUUAUCAAAGAAAAUCCAUGAAAAUUUAUAUCAAAAAGUAAUGAUGAAUUCACAGUAUUCUGACAGUCUUAUACUGUAUGGGUGAGUUAACUUUUGUUUUGAACAUGGAGUGAAGAUUUAUUACAGAGAUAUAAGAUCUCCACACACAUUAACAAUAUAAAUAUAAAACAAAUACAAAAAAAAAGUCCCCAAAAACCAAAACAAUAUUAAAAUAUAUAUGAGACCAUAUAAGAAACUACUAUGGAAUUUUUUUUCAUGGGUACAAAUUUUGUGAAAUGAGGAAAAGUUGUGAAACUAUUGAUGUUUGAUUUCAUGAAUUAAAAACAAAUUUGCCAAAGACUCAAUACUAGCCUGUACAGAGUUCAUACUUCAUUGGAAAUUAAAUUUGGUGUUUUAUCUAAACCAACAAUUCCCCAAAAAUUGUUACAAAAAAAAAUAGCAAUGAAUACACAUAGCACAAAUUCAAACAAAUAGUACAUGUAAUAUUAAAAUUGAACUGAAAUGGCACUAAUAAAAUCUGAUUUCUCAGGUCAAUCUUAAUAAUAAUCAUAAGGGGCUUGUUUUUCCUUUUGAGUAUUCUGUUUAUAACUAAUUUAAAAACUGUCUUUAUUACAAAAAUGUCAAUAUUAAAUCUAAAGUAACACAGUUACAUAAAAAUAAUAUGUACUCAUUUAUUAUGAAAUUUUGAAUUUGAAAAUUAAAAAGAGAAAUAGUUUCUUUAAAGGGGAAAUAACCCUUCUCCUCUCUCCAGCUAUGAAAACUGAACAUGACCUUUUGAACUAAUACACCACUCAUAUACUGACUGACAUGUGAACGUAUUUUUCAAGGAUACAAAUCUGCAAUUUAAAUUGUGACAUCAAUAAUAUGUUAUUGCCCUUGACAUGAUUUUGCAUAGAACUGUUAUAACCAUAGGCAUCAAAACAAUUUAAAAAUUUUGUAGUAUUAGCAGUAAUCCUAUUAGAGUACUGAACUCAUAACAUAU
RNAcentral lists this long non-coding RNA (2759 nucleotides) under Mytilus galloprovincialis (Mediterranean mussel). Lineage: Eukaryota; Metazoa; Mollusca; Bivalvia; Mytilida; Mytilidae. The record is from RNAcentral.